UGGGGAAUAUUGCACAAUGGGGGAAACCCUGAUGCAGCGACGCCGCGUGAGCGAAGAAGUAUUUCGAUAUGUAAAGCUCUAUCAGCAGGGAAGAUGAUGACGGUACCUGACUAAGAAGCCCCGGCUAACUACGUGCCAGCAGCCGCGGUAAUACGUAGGGGGCGAGCGUUGUUCGGAAUCAUUGGGCGUAAAGGGUGCGCAGGUGGCCGAUCAAGUCUGGCGUGAAAGUGCGGGGCUCAACUCCGUGAUGCGCUGGAAACUGGCCGGCUAGAGUACAGCAGGGGGCGUCGGAAUUCCAGGUGUAGGGGUGAAAUCUGUAGAUAUCUGGAAGAACACCGGUGGCGAAGGCGGACGCCUGGGCAUGUACUGACACUGAGGCACGAAGGUGCGGGG
RNAcentral lists this ribosomal RNA (393 nucleotides) under uncultured Anaerostipes sp. RNAcentral describes it as "bacterial SSU rRNA". It matches the Rfam family "Bacterial small subunit ribosomal RNA", at positions 355 to 766 of the family's 1533-position model. The record is from RNAcentral. Lineage: Bacteria; Bacillati; Bacillota; Clostridia; Lachnospirales; Lachnospiraceae.